RNAcentral lists this ribosomal RNA (263 nucleotides) under uncultured bacterium. RNAcentral's name for it is "partial 16S ribosomal RNA". It matches the Rfam family "Bacterial small subunit ribosomal RNA", at positions 94 to 353 of the family's 1533-position model. The record is from RNAcentral.
AGUGGCGAACGGGUGAGUAACGCGUGAGGAACCUGCCUCAAAGAGGGGGACAACAGUUGGAAACGACUGCUAAUACCGCAUAAGCCCACGGGUCGGCAUCGACCAGAGGGAAAAGGAGCAAUCCGCUUUGAGAUGGUCCCGCGUCCGAUUAGCUAGUUGGUGAGGUAAUGGCCCACCAAGGCGACGAUCGGUAGCCGGACUGAGAGGUUGAACGGCCACAUUGGGACUGAGACACGGCCCAGACUCCUACGGGAGGCAGCAUG